AGCAAGUCGAACGAACUCUGCUGAUGAUUGAAGCUUGCUUCAUGAAUCAGAUUUGAGUGAGUGGCGGACGGGUGAGUAACACGUGGGUAACCUGCCCAAAAGUGGGGGAUAACAUUUGGAAACAAGUGCUAAUACCGCAUAACAACUACUUUCACAUGAUCGUAGCUUGAAAGAUGGCUCUGCUAUCGCUUUUGGAUGGACCCGCGGCGUAUUAGCUAGUUGGUGAGGUAAUAGCUCACCAAGGCAAUGAUACGUAGCCGACCUGAGAGGGUAAUCGGCCACAUUGGGACUGAGACACGGCCCAAACUCCUACGGGAGGCAGCAGUAGGGAAUCUUCCACAAUGGGCGAAAGCCUGAUGGAGCAAUGCCGCGUGAGUGAAGAAGGUUUUCGGAUCGUAAAACUCUGUUGUUGAAGAAGAACAUGCGUGAGAGUAACUGUUCACGUACUGACGGUAUUCAACCAGAAAGCCACGGCUAACUACGUG
RNAcentral lists this ribosomal RNA (485 nucleotides) under uncultured bacterium. RNAcentral's name for it is "bacterial SSU rRNA". It matches the Rfam family "Bacterial small subunit ribosomal RNA", at positions 56 to 507 of the family's 1533-position model. The record is from RNAcentral.